UUAUUGGUAACCAUCUGGUUUGUACUUUCUAAGUCAGGUCAGGCUUUGAGCAUCAGUCAUUUGGUAGUUUAAAAGAACAAUAACUGAAUCAAUCCAUCAUGAUUUUUACAGGAGCAAGCCGAGCCUACAGAUGUUGAUGAAGACAGUGAACAUGACAUUUGUGAGGGACAUGAAACAACCAUGGACAAUUUGGGGGAACGAGAGAUCUGCCCUAUAUGCCAGGGGAACUUCUUAAAGUCAGUGCUCCCUUAUCAUGCCAGUGAAUGCUGUGACAGAGCAUUCAACAGUGAAGCAGUGUUGGAGGUAGUCCCGGACCUUCCAGGGCCAUCAUCUGUAACUCCUGUACCUUAUUCACCAGCAGAAACUGAAAUGUGGAAAGAGGUGAACAAUCCACAAAAGGCAGUACAGCUGUUCCUCAAACAACUGAAA
Molecule: long non-coding RNA, 429 nt
Organism: Melanotaenia boesemani (Boeseman's rainbowfish)
Lineage: Eukaryota; Metazoa; Chordata; Actinopteri; Atheriniformes; Melanotaeniidae
Exons: 4
Source: RefSeq, a predicted model, not a curated record